Molecule: ribosomal RNA, 511 nt
Filed under: Raymunida cagnetei
Lineage: Eukaryota; Metazoa; Arthropoda; Malacostraca; Decapoda; Munididae
Description: partial 16S ribosomal RNA
Rfam family: Bacterial large subunit ribosomal RNA
Source: RNAcentral
GUCUGUAUGAAGUUAUAUGGAGUCUAACCUGCCCAUUGAAUAAUUUAAAAGGCCGCGGUAUAUUAACUGUGCAAAGGUAGCAUAAUCAUUAGUUUUUUAAUUGAAGGCUUGUAUGAACGGUUGGACAAAGGAUAAUCUGUUUUUAUUUUUGUUUUUGAAUUUAACUUUUAAGUGAAAAGGCUUAAAUAAAUUUAAGGGACGAUAAGACCCUAUAAAUCUUUACAUUAAGUUUUUUUUUCUAUUAAUUUAUUAUGUAAAUAAAAGAUAAAAUAGUAAAUGUUAUGUUGGGGUGACAAGAAUAUAAAUGUUAACUGUUCUAAAUCAAAAUCAAAGUUGUUUGAAAAUAAUAGAUCCUUUUUAGAGAUUAAAAGUUUAAGUUACUUUAGGGAUAACAGCGUUAUUUUUCUUGAGAGUUCUAAUCGAAAGAAAAGUUUGCGACCUCGAUGUUGAAUUAAAAUUUCUUUAUGGUGCAGUAGUUAUAAAAGAGAGUCUGUUCGACUUUUAAAUUUUU